This 334-nucleotide long non-coding RNA is filed under the name Mytilus galloprovincialis (Mediterranean mussel). Lineage: Eukaryota; Metazoa; Mollusca; Bivalvia; Mytilida; Mytilidae. The record is from RNAcentral.
UAUAUUGUAGAUUAUUGCGUUGCGUUGUGUAUUUGAUCGUAAGCUAACUAAGGCGUUAAAGAUAGAACUACGUCUGCCAUUAUACGUUUCUAUUCAAUACAACAUAAAGUAUCACAAUUACGCGACGUCACAAAGAUAGUGGCCGUACCGCAAAAAGGUACGUUAAUAUUAGCGCAAUUCUUUACAUUCUGGGGCCGCAGAAAAUGAUAUUUAACUCAAAUUUGAAAUACAAUAUGAAAAAUUCGUAAAUUUGAAAUUAAAUGUCUGAUCAAUUGUGACAUAAAAUGAAAUAAAAUCAUAGUUAAAGUCUCUCAAUAUUUUUUAACUGUUCACG